Molecule: ribosomal RNA, 438 nt
Filed under: uncultured Arthrobacter sp.
Lineage: Bacteria; Bacillati; Actinomycetota; Actinomycetes; Micrococcales; Micrococcaceae
Description: bacterial SSU rRNA
Rfam family: Bacterial small subunit ribosomal RNA
Source: RNAcentral
GAUGAACGCUGGUGGCGUGCUUAACACAUGCAAGUCGAACGAUGAUGCCAGCUUGCUGGUGGAUUAGUGGCGAACGGGUGAGUAACACGUGAGUAACCUGCCCUUAACUCUGGGAUAAGCCUGGGAAACUGGGUCUAAUACCGGAUAUGACUCCUCAUCGCAUGGUGGGGGGUGGAAAGCUUUAUUGUGGUUUUGGAUGGACUCGCGGCCUAUCAGCUUGUUGGUGAGGUAAUGGCUCACCAAGGCGACGACGGGUAGCCGGCCUGAGAGGGUGACCGGCCACACUGGGACUGAGACACGGCCCAGACUCGUACGGGAGGCAGCAGUAGGGAAUAUUGCACAAUGGGCGAAAGCCUGAUGCAGCGACGCCGCGUGAGGGAUGACGGCCUUCGGGUUGUAAACCUCUUUCAGUAGGGAAGAAGCGAAAGUGACGGUACC